GAUGAACGCUGGCGGCGUGCCUAAUACAUGCAAGUCGAGCGAACGGACGAGAAGUUUGCUUCUCUGAUGUUAGCGGCGGACGGGUGAGUAACACGUGGAUAACCUACCUAUAAGACUGGGAUAACUUCGGGAAACCGGAGCUAAUACCGGAUAAUAUUUUGAACCGCAUGGUUCAAAAGUAAAAGACGGUCUUGCUGUCACUUAUAGAUGGAUCCGCGCUGCAUUAGCUAGUUGGUAAGGUAACGGCUUACCAAGGCAACGAUGCAUAGCCGACCUGAGAGGGUGAUCGGCCACACUGGAACUGAGACACGGUCCAGACUCCUACGGGAGGCAGCAGUAGGGAAUCUUCCGCAAUGGGCGAAAGCCUGACGGAGCAACGCCGCGUGAGUGAUGAAGGUCUUCGGAUCGUAAAACUCUGUUAUUGGGGAAGAACAUAUGUGUAAGUAACUGUGCACAUCUUGACGGUACCUAAUCAGAAAGCCACGGCUAACUACGUG
This 497-nucleotide ribosomal RNA is filed under the name uncultured bacterium. Its description in RNAcentral is "partial 16S ribosomal RNA". It matches the Rfam family "Bacterial small subunit ribosomal RNA", at positions 28 to 507 of the family's 1533-position model. The record is from RNAcentral.